UGCCCUCGCGCACGCCGCCGCCUCCCGCUCUCCCCAUUUCCCACUCUCUCUUUGCCUGGCCGCUCAUCCCCAAUCCGCGCGGGGAGGGCGCAAUGCGGCCAUGCACCCCGCCCUAAAGCGGGAGGUGCAAGGACGGCGGCCAAUGCCAUCCACGCCGCCGCUCCUCCCCCAUUCGCUAUUGGCCUCACCGCUUGGAUCCCCCGUCGGCUGCUGCUCCUUCCCCUCCCGUGCCGCCGUCGCCGUCGCCUUCGCCCCCGUCCUAUCUGCGCCCGACGGCCGGCAAGACUGGGACGCGGACUCCGCCGAGCAUUGAGGAUGCGGGCCGGUGCUCAAGCCGCCGCCACUGCCGCCAUUCUCGCGUACCUCGUCCCCGAGGUAAUCUCCCGAUCUCCUUUCUCCUACAGUCCUCCCACUCCUCCCUGGCUGGCACAAGCAGAAAACUUCGACGGCCCGACUCGUGGCCGCGGGGUCCUCGCUCGGGCUCCUGUGGCCCCGCUCAUACAUUCUCUACAAGGUGUCGGCGCCCUAGGACGGGGGCGUCGUGCGUGUCGGCUGCUCCAACGGCUUCCCUGUUGCGUGGCGCCUCCGCGUCUUCCUCUUCUACAAGGCGGUGACGCCCCUCCACUUCACACCCUCCAAGGUGGCCCCGCUCUGCCGCCGACCUGGAGGUCUGCAAGACUGCCGACCUCACCGCCUGUCGUUCAACUUCUGCUAUCGUGCUACAAUGAUGGAGGGACAUCGAGCAGGUUACCGCAAGCACCGCAAGUGCCAGGUCUUGACUAAUUUGUUCCAUCUACAGUACAGUUAAGAUGCUAUUUAGCAGACACACAAUGACUUUUAUUCAGUCAGUCGUAUGAAUCUUCCUUUACUCUUAGUGCUGGUGAUUUCGGAUCUAUACUUUGGUUGCCUGAUUAUUGCUUUGCAGGAUAAAUUACUUUGCAUGUCUAAAUCGACUGUGAUGUUUAUCUCACUAUUUUGGUUGGCUGAUUAUUGCCUCUGCCGCUUGAUUGCGCUUACUUGCAGGAGCCAAAUGUGACAUAUGUGAAAUAGCAAGUAAUUUAUUCUCCUUUCUUGAUCAAAUUGGUUUAGUUAUUUUCAAGAUGAUCUGAACAUAUUAUAUAUGCUUUGUUUCUCAAGGUAACUCGGGCUUCUGCUGGUUGUGGCAAUAAGUCUAUGUAGAUCAAACUAUCAAUAACUAAAUAUAUGUCAUCAUUCUGAAUUCUGAAUGUUUAUCAAAUUUGCUACACUAUCAGGACCUCAUACUAUUUGCUGCCUCUGUGAACAAGCUGUUAGAGUAUUCCGUAUUCUUGUAACUUCAAGUUUGUGAAAUUGCAGCCAUGUCACUCUGUUCUUGCAUAUCAUUUUCCCUUUUAGAAUUUUCCUAAUGCUAUUUUUUUAAACUCACAUCCUCUCAAUUAUAAUGAACCUAUAUUUUUCUAUGGCUGCAAGAAAACCAAUAAUUUAAUUUAUGCAUCUUUUAUGCUUAUAAUUUAUUUUUCUAGGGCUGCAAAAAAAAAUUAAUCAUUCAAUGUAUGCAUCUGUUAUGCUUAUAAUAUCUUUUUCUACAUUGGUGAAUGACAACAGGGAAGCCUUGGUCAACGUGGCGGCGUCCCCGAUCUGUGGCCUAGGUUGGACGUUCUAAUCAGAGAAGUGGCAGCUGCCACCGGUGCAUCAAAGCUCCAUCUCCACGACAUGAAGGCAAGGUGUACAAGCAAUGCCAUAACCGGCCAACACAAUUUAAGGUUGCCGCUGAGAAGUGGUUCAAGCCUCGCCCAGUGUGCGCCGCCACUAGGACCAGGAUAUAGCUGCUGGUGUGGCCAUUCAGAGAGCAUCCGCUGCUGUAUUGUUUAUCCAAUGCAGAUGGAACCAAUAUGUAGGAGUGACCAUGGUAGUGAUUAGCAAGAGGCUGGUGGACUCGUUCCUGAUAGAUGCAACAUUGGAGGUUGGGCUCUGUAGUCUGUGGAGUACAAGGAGCUCAAGCAUCAUCUGCUGUUGAGGACAAGGAGCUCAAGCAUGAUUUGCAUGUGCGGCUGAUGACUUCUUGCAUUGUCUGAAUGCCCGUGCGUUGCUACGAGAGCUAAAAAUUCAAAUACAACUAGUCUUUUUAAAAAAGAUAUUCAGCAGUA
This is a long non-coding RNA of Panicum virgatum (switchgrass), 2126 nucleotides long. RefSeq lists it as uncharacterized. The record is from RefSeq and is a predicted model, not a curated record. The transcript is spliced from 3 exons. NCBI's taxonomy places the organism in Eukaryota, Viridiplantae, Streptophyta, Magnoliopsida, Poales, Poaceae.